UUCCAUAGUGGGCAUGGGAGGACUAGGUAAAACCACUCUCGCCAAGAAAGUAUACAAUAACACUCAUGUGAAGCAACACUUUGAUCGCUAUUCUUGGGUCUUCAUAUCUCAGCAAUACAGCAUCAAAGAUGUUAUGGUUGGAAUCCUUGUGGAUGUUGCAUCUAGCGAGGAUAAAUCACAGUUAUUGGAAAGAAUGAAAGAGGAACGACCACUUGAAUUCCGUGUUGGAAAAGAUGAGGGAGGAAGAACAGCUCAAAUCUUUCUUGGCAACGAUGACUGAGGACGAGCUGGUUAAAACAGUCCAUCGUAUUUUGGAGGAGAAGCGUUACUUGGUG
RNAcentral lists this unclassified non-coding RNA (335 nucleotides) under Hevea brasiliensis (rubber tree). Lineage: Eukaryota; Viridiplantae; Streptophyta; Magnoliopsida; Malpighiales; Euphorbiaceae. The record is from RNAcentral.